RNAcentral lists this transfer RNA (62 nucleotides) under Heterocephalus glaber (naked mole-rat). It matches the Rfam family "tRNA", at positions 11 to 71 of the family's 71-position model. From Rfam's summary of the family: Transfer RNA (tRNA) molecules are approximately 80 nucleotides in length. Their secondary structure includes four short double-helical elements and three loops (D, anti-codon, and T loops). The record is from Rfam by way of RNAcentral. Lineage: Eukaryota; Metazoa; Chordata; Mammalia; Rodentia; Bathyergidae.
UUCAGUGAUAAAGCACUUGCCUAGAAAGCAUGAGGCCCUGGGUUCAAUCCCCAGCACUGAAA